AUAGGGUGGAAAUGACGCCUGGUUGUGACAGGGGGACUGACCUCUCUCCAGCAGCUGCAGAUCAGAAGGGAAGGCUGUAUCGGCAUCUGUCAACGCAGUAAAACGCGACAGGCCUUCAGCCAUCAGAUAGAAGAUGCUGAAGUUGUGUUGGUGAGGAGGCAGGUGGACCAGACGAGCUUUCUCCAGCAUGAUGAUCAGAGAGCGAGCUGACCCAGAUAUCGACAACAUAACGAUGACUUCAUUAGAACACAGUACUUGCACUUGCAGGCUAUACAAUGCUGUGAUAAGCACCACCAGUGAAUACAAGAAGAGGCAGUGAUAUGAGUGCUGACCUUAAUGACAGAUUUUUUUCUUAUCUUCUGUUUUUCAUAUACAGAAGGAGGGAGGGUACUAAGUUCCAACCGUGCCAAUUCAUUUUUUUCUCUUUCAUCAAAAUAUGCCAAUAUAUUUUCCCCACAAACAUUUCUGGUCAUUAUCUAUUCUACCAAAAAGUUUUGAGAUUUUAGCAUCUCCUGAUUCACUUGGAAAAUGCACCACAAUGGGUACUUGUUGAUCUUCUAUACACACAUAUCUUUUUUUAAUCAACUCUCCCUCUAUACUCUGAAAAGGAGGAAUGAAUUCCCUUCUAAAAAGAACGCCCUUCUGCAAAUGGUUCUGUCCUAAAGAACCAGAAUCAUGGAGAUAGAGCCACAGUAAUGGAAAUUUUAAUGAUGCGAUCAAACAUGGGUCUGAAUGCUCAAAUUGCAUCUCUGACAAAUGAUCAGCCAUCUAAUAGAGAGGAAAAGACUACAAGCAAUGGCUCUAUACUGUGGUGUGCCACGCCAUACAUCUAUUCUCUCCCACACUACAGCAACAAGGAACAGCAGGAUGCAUUCAUCUGAUAUCUGAUUUUUUUAUUACAGAGAUUACAUGGGGGAUGGAACAAUAAGCACAAUAGGAUUCACAAUAGGAUCUGUUCUUCAUUUUGAAGAACAGAAAAAUAUUCAGGAGUUUCUCAGUGAGGACUCAUUGCAUAGAGCAUGGAAAUAAAAUUAAAAAGAUAGCACAAUUGUGUCUAAGAUCAUUUUCUUGGUCAAAGUAAAGAAACAAGGACAUGAGAGCAACAAAGGAUUCGAGGAUC
This is a long non-coding RNA of Lates calcarifer (barramundi perch), 1120 nucleotides long. RefSeq lists it as uncharacterized. Lineage: Eukaryota; Metazoa; Chordata; Actinopteri; Centropomidae. The transcript is spliced from 3 exons. The record is from RefSeq and is a predicted model, not a curated record.